Molecule: non-coding RNA, 4620 nt
Organism: Rattus norvegicus (Norway rat)
Lineage: Eukaryota; Metazoa; Chordata; Mammalia; Rodentia; Muridae
Source: RefSeq, a predicted model, not a curated record
CCCUACCCUGCUAGUCUGUCAUUAUUUAGAUAGCUACUGUAGUGAAUUUGAAUGAGAAAUAACACCAAUAGUGUUGGACAUUUGGUCGACAGCUGGUGUUAUUGUUUGGGAUUUAGGAAGUGUGGCCUUGUUGUAAGAAGUAUGUCGCUUGGGGAUGGGCUUUGAAGAUUAAAUGCCCUGUCCCAUUCCCAGUUUGUUCCUUCUGCUUUCUGCUUGCAGUUCAAGAUGUGAACCUUUAGCUUCUGCUCCACUUGCCUUCCCUGCUGCCCUCCACCAUGUUCCCCUACCAUGAUGGAUGCUUAACCCUCUGGAAGCAUGCAGCAGGUUCUGGAGACGAAGCACGGUACCUUGUAUAUCUAGGCUCCAAUAUUCAUGCUUGAAUUGCUGGCAAAACAGAUCUUUUCCGGGAAAAUUGGCAACAAUAUUUAACAACGUUUAACAAUCAGACAAUGGACCACUGACACUUAAGCCAAAUGGUAAAAUGUUGAAAGACCCCAUGGUAGAGAUUAAUAAGUCACUUGGCCCCUGGCUGUCAAGCCGGGACACUGUGUAAGCUCAGACUUGGUGUCAAGGUUCUUUCUUUCUUUCUUUCUUUCUUUCUUUCUUUCUUUCUUUCUUUCUUUCUUUCUCUCUCUCUCUCUCUCUCUCUCUCUCUCUCUCUUUCUUUCUUUCAACUGUUUUACAACUUGCUUACUUAAGAGUCAUUCCCUUGUAAAGUUAAGGGUGCUACAAUGUGAACAUGCUAGGCUUCGCUAAGCUUUUAAUUAUGACAAAAUUAUAUUUUAAUUAAAAACACAUUUGAAAGAAAAAUAAAGGCAAAGCUUUAUAGGCCAGCUCUCCUGGAAACAGGUUGGGUUGAAAUCUCAGUGGGGGAGAAGCUGGGCUCAUUAUGGAGACACCUCCUGGCCUCAGGUGACCCCAGGUGCUCAACAUUUGAAGCAAGGGUGGAUGUCUGUGCUGACCAACUCGUGGGUGUGUGCUGCCCCAGGAGGGAGAGGGACUUCAGCAAGCCAUUCUCAUUAGCAAAGCAAAUUCUCAGGGGAACAGACAGCUUUGGGUAUCAAAUCCUUCACCAGGGGAUGGUGAGGGAGAGGUUUGUAGAUGUGAAUAUGAAUGGUAAAGUGUAGUUGUCUAUUCCUGCCAGUGGUGGAGGACUGCUGUUAAGUGCAUUUAUAUGUAACACAUAUAGGUUAUCCUGUGCACUUUUAAGUUUUAUCCUAUUUUACUGAAAACAGACUUUUUUCUUACAUGAUAUAUCCUUAUUAAAAGCUUUCUCUCCUUUUACUCGUCCCCUCUCCCCUCCUCAUUCAUCCGGAAACCCCCCCCCCCACCUUUCUGUCUUUCAUUAGGAAACAAGCAGGCUUCUAAAGGAUAAAAAUAAAAUAGUAUAAUAUGACAUAACGAAACAAAACAAAAUACAUCAGAAUAGAACGAACGGAAGGAAAAGAGCCCAGGAGAAGGGACAACCAACAGAUACAGAGGUUCAUCCCUUCCCAUACUCAGGAGUACCAUAAAAACACAAAACUGGAAACCAUAAUAUAAAAACAAAGAACCCAUGGGGGGAGGGAGGGAGGGAAGGAGAGAGAGAGAGAGAGAGAGAGAGAGAGAGAGAGAGAGAGAGAGAGAGAGAGAGAAUCCCUGACAUGCCAUUAUGAGAUUGGGAACCCCCAAAGAUGCCGUUGAGUCUGUUUUCUGUUGGCAUCUACCGCUUGGCACGCGGUCUACCCCUAAGAAUAGUUUGUUUCCCCAAUGAGACUCCCCUUUGGAGGAAGCUAAAAUUUCAUUUGCAAGUGCUUAUCAAUGGGAGAAAGUGUCUGUGCUAGGGAUAAGGCCAAGUGUCCACUUCUCCUUUUAGCUCUCGGAAUCCUUCUGUUGUGUGCCCACGAGAGCCCCAUACGUGCUGCCUCCGUCUCCGUGAGUUCAUGUGGGCAUCACCUAUAACGCACCUAUGACGCUCUGUUCUAUUCAGAAGGCCUUGUUUCCAUGGUAUCCUCCAUCCUCUUUGGUUCUUUCGGCUCUUUUCCGUCUCCUCUUCACAGGGUUCCCUGAGUCCAGAGGGGAGGGAUUUGAUGCAGACAUCCCAUUUAGGGCGGAGGGUUCCGCGGUCUCACGCUCUGCUUGUUGCCUGGCGGUGGGUCUCUGUAUUUGUUUCAUCUGCUGCAGGAGGAAGCUUCCCUGAGGAUGUAGCUGAACGAGGCUCUGAUCUAAGAGUACAGCAGAAUGUCAUUAGGAGUCACUUUAUCGAUAUGUUCCUUUAGUAAGUCAGUAGCAUUUGGUUUUACCCAAGGUCUCCACGGGGACAUAUAGUAGGUUUUCAGUCACCCAAGCAGCAUUGGGUAUGGGCUCCAUCUUGUGGAGUAGGCCAUAUUUAAAUCAGAUAUUGGCCCGUUACUCUCACACAUGUUUUGUGCCACCUUUGAACUAGUAUAGGGUGGCAGACACCGUUGUAGGUCAAAGGGGUUUAGCGGGUUUGUGUUUACACUUCUUUGGGAGCAUACAGAGAGCUGUUGGGUACUGAGAGAACUAGCCCAGAGUGGUGAGGGCUCUAUGUAGGCACCAGCUCAGCCUUUCUGUGUUCAAUGGUUGUGUAGGUGUGGUUUUCAGCAAUGGACCCUUGCUGUCAGUUUGUGGAGAGCAACCUAUAGCCUUGGCAAUGGCCUACAUUGUUUGGGGAUUCCCAUGGGACUCCUUCCGCCAACAACUCAAUUAGAUGUAACCUAUUCCCAUUCUGGAAGUUUCAUUUGGUGACAAGGGAUGGCCAGUUGGACGCUGUCUCCCCUGUUACAUGGAGACUUCAUUUAGAUGGCCUACAUAUAUGAAUAUACUUUAGAAAGCUUCCAUAGUAUUAGGUUUCCAUGCUACCUGUCACGUGACUUAAUCUUAGCACUCUUUCCCUGUAUUCCCUCCCCUUACCCACUUAUCCUUCCUAGUCCGUUUUCAUUCAAUUUUCCAUUUUCUGUUAUCUUUUACACUUUCUUUGUGUUUUAAUAAAUUUUAUAAAUUUAUAAUUAAUUUUCAAAUUUAUCAGUAUUAAUUUAUAAAUUUAUCGUUAUUAAUUUAUAAUAUAAUUUUGUAAGUCUUUGACUUGCUUGGUUAGAGUUAUUAACCCACGGUGUCAUAUUUUUGAGGCUACUAUGAAAGGCCUAGUCUCUCUGAGUUCUUUCUCAGUCCAAUUGCUGUUUGUACAUAGGAGGUCUACUGAUUUCUUGGUGUGAAUUAAUGUUAUAGCCAACAACUUUGCUAAAACUAUUUCUCAGCAGGAGUUUCCUGGUGGAGCUUUUAAGGUCACUUAUAUAUACUAUCAUGUUAUCUGAAAAUAAAGAUCCUUUGUCUUCUUCUUUUCCAAAUUUGUAGACGAUCCCUUCAGUUGUCUUAUUGCUCUAGCUAAGGCUUCAAGUGCCAUAUUGAAUAGAUAUGGAGAGAGUGGCCAGCCUUGUUUUGCUCCUGAUUUUAAUGGAACUUGAGUUUCUCUCCAUGUAAGUUGAUGUUGGCUAUGGGCUUGCCGUAAAGUGCCUUCAUUAUGCUGAAGUGUGUCCAUAUGCCGGGGAUGGCGACCUGAUGCCUUCCCUCUGUGUCAGGCUUGACUCACACUGAAAGUCUGGCUGUAGUCUGGGUGCUGAGCUAGAGAGAGAGAGAGAGAGAGAGAGAGAGAGAGAGAGAGAGAGAGAGAGAGCCAAAGGAGAGUGAGAAACAGGAAAGAAAGAAAGGUCCAGGAGGCAACAGAGAUAAGUGCUUCCUUCUAACAGGACUCUGUCCUCUGAGUCAUAAAGGAACUCAUCCCAGGGGCUCUGUGUGUCACCACCUGGGAUUGUGUCUCAUGUGCAUUGGUUCUGAGAGGAGCGAAGCAAUGGCGGCUGAGCCCCACCCAAGCAUCCUUGACUGUUCUGGGCAGCCAUGUGGGGCAUGCGGAUUAAUGAUGAGAACAUCUUGUUGCUUCCUUUUGUCUGUUCCUCCAUUAUUUUUCCUACUAGCACCUAUUCAUCGCCCACUGUGUGCCAGGCACUGAGCAAGCCCUUUGCUGGAAACAGGCAUCCCAGUGUCUUUGUGAAUGAGCAACCUGAAAGCACGCUUAGUCCAGGUCCCUGCAUGUCUGACAGGUUCCUUUGCUGGGCCACAGGAUCCUUUUGUGAGACCAUGUGUCAGUCUGUAAUGUGCUGCUUCUUGACAGGUGCCAAUCCAUUUUUGCCAUCUUUACAUGGUGGUAAUAUUUUUAACAUCAGGAGUCUACUUAAUUCAUUGAACUGUCUUCAAUGUAUUCUCUUUUUUUCUUGAAUUGGGAGGGAUCAAAACGCAAACAACUCCCUAGUCUUAUUCAUAUGCUGAGUACUGAAUGUAGUGUCUACAAAUGAGGGACCAAUAUUUCUGUCCAGUGAAUGCAUGAAGUAUACUCAGAGGCAAGGUUGCUGCCUGCGUAACUAACUUUUCAUAGCUUUGGAAAUGACAUGCAGCAGGUGAGGUGUCUCAGCAGGUAAAGGUUCUUGUUGAUAAGCAUGACGACCUUUGACAGAUUCCCCAGGACCCAAAACGUGAAAGAUGAGAAUCGACUUCUGAAAAUUGUUCUCUGACCUCCACCCAUUCAUACUCCAAUAAAAGUGAAUGUAACAAUUUUUUUCAAGAUGA